Small nuclear RNA from Chlorocebus sabaeus (green monkey), 112 nucleotides. NCBI's taxonomy places the organism in Eukaryota, Metazoa, Chordata, Mammalia, Primates, Cercopithecidae. The record is from Rfam.
GUCUCAAAAACAAAAACAGACAAAUAAACAAAAUGGUUGCUUGAUGCAGAGAAUAUUAGCAUGGCCCCUGCCCAAGAUUGACACACAAAUUUAUAAAGCAUUCUGUAUUUAA